Regulatory RNA element from Cavia porcellus (domestic guinea pig), 113 nucleotides. It matches the Rfam family "Potassium channel RNA editing signal". Rfam says of the family: This family represents a group of sequences related to the human potassium channel Kv1.1 hairpin element which directs the efficient modification of an adenosine to inosine by an adenosine deaminase acting on RNA (ADAR). The ADAR modification causes an isoleucine/valine recoding event which lies in the ion-conducting pore of the potassium channel. NCBI's taxonomy places the organism in Eukaryota, Metazoa, Chordata, Mammalia, Rodentia, Caviidae. The record is from Rfam.
CUCAGAUAUGGAGACAUGGUGCCUAAACAAUUGCAGGAAAGAUCUUUGGCUCCAUCUGUUCCCUGAGUGGCGUCCUGGUCAUUGCCCUGCCAGUCCCUGUGAUUGUUUCCAAC